Molecule: unclassified non-coding RNA, 267 nt
Filed under: Hevea brasiliensis (rubber tree)
Lineage: Eukaryota; Viridiplantae; Streptophyta; Magnoliopsida; Malpighiales; Euphorbiaceae
Source: RNAcentral
GGCCAUAGUAUCCUAUGGUAUAACCAUCCCAAUCAACCACAACUGUCUCUCCCAUCUUAGGCUUGGGGCCAUCUCCUACUCGCAAGUCCUUAAACUGAAGACCUGAAUCUGUUUCAGUGUAGUCUGGAUACCGCAUCUUUGACUUGCCGUAAUCCUUGCCCCGGAUUGCUGGCAUGUCAGCGAAUUCAGAUGCCAAAGCUACUCCAUCAAUCGAAGCAUUCCACAGAGCUCCACUCACCAAUCCAACGGAUAAGAUUACUACUUCUC